CUACUCUUGACAUCCUGCGAACUUGGUAGAGAUACCUUGGUGCCUUCGGGAACGCAGAGACAGGUGCUGCAUGGCUGUCGUCAGCUCGUGUUGUGAAAUGUUGGGUUAAGUCCCGUAACGAGCGCAACCCUUGUCCUUAGUUGCCAUCAUUUAGUUGGGGACUCUAAGGAGACUGCCGGUGACAAACCGGAGGAAGGCGGGGACGACGUCAAGUCAUCAUGGCCCUUACGAGUAGGGCUACACACGUGCUACAAUGGCAAGUACAGAGGGCCGCGAAGCCGCGAGGUGGAGCUAAUCUCACAAAGCUUGUCGUAGUCCGGAUUGGAGUCUGCAACUCGACUCCAUGAAGUCGGAAUCGCUAGUAAUCGCAAAUCAGAAUGUUGCGGUGAAUACGUUUCCCGGGUCUGUACACACGAAUCUAGAGCAUCGGAGCGGG
RNAcentral lists this ribosomal RNA (436 nucleotides) under uncultured bacterium. Its description in RNAcentral is "bacterial SSU rRNA". It matches the Rfam family "Bacterial small subunit ribosomal RNA", at positions 975 to 1414 of the family's 1533-position model. The record is from RNAcentral.